GUCUAUGUGUAUUAGAAAGAUGUGGUGGACUAGGAGUAGAGUGGGGAGAUUGGAUAUUUGUAGGUAUUUGAGAGGUGGGAGCAUGAAUUGUAGACAUUUGUGGACUUGGAGUAGAGAGGAAAGGUGGGAAAUUUGUAAAUGUUUGAGAUAUGGGAUGAUGUUUCGGUUGCCUUGUAGGUUGUGGAAGUUGGAUAUUUGAAGGUGUGUUAGAUGUAAGAUGAUGUGUAGGUUUCCUUGUAGAGUGGGGUUGUUGGGUAUUUGUAGGUAUUUGAGAAGUGGGAGCAUGGACAGUAGACAUUUGUGGACUUGAAGUAGAGAGGAAAGGUGGGAAGUUUGUAUGUGUUUGAGAUAUGGGAUGAUGUGUAGGUUGCUUUGUAAAUAGGGAUUGUUGGAUAUUUGAAGGUGUUUUAGAUGUAAGAUGAUGUGUAGGUUUCCUUGUAGAGUGGGGUUGUUGGGUAUUUGUAGGUAUUUGAGAAGUGGGAGCAUGGACAGUAGACAUUUGUGGACUUGAAGUAGAGAGGAAAGGUGGGAAGUUUGUAUGUGUUUGAGAUAUGGGAUGAUGUGUAGGCUGCUUUGUAGAUAGGGAUUGUUGGAUAUUUGAAGGUGUUUUAGAUGUAAGAUGAUGUGUAGGUUUCAUUGUAGAGUGGGGUUGUUGGGUAUUUGUAGGUAUUUGAGAAGUGGGAGCAUGGACAGUAGACAUUUGUGGACUUGAAGUAGAGAGGAAAGGUGGGAAGUUAGUAUGUGUUUGAGAUAUGGGAUGAUGUGUAGGUUGCUUUGUAGAUAGGGAUUGUUGGGUGUCUGCAGGCCUAGGUGCUUGUAAUCUAGAAGAAUGCGACAAAGUAGUUUUAUGCUUACCUCCCUUAUUUCCCUUAACUUUGUUGAUGCUUAUACCAGCACCUCUUCCAC
Molecule: long non-coding RNA, 906 nt
Filed under: Medicago truncatula (barrel medic)
Lineage: Eukaryota; Viridiplantae; Streptophyta; Magnoliopsida; Fabales; Fabaceae
Description: long non-coding RNA (MTRU_LNC000576)
Source: RNAcentral